UCCUGUUGCUAACGAGUAAAGUCGAGCACUCUGGAGAGACUGCCGGUGAUAAACCGGAGGAAGGUGGGGAUGACGUCAAGUCCUCAUGGCCUUUAUGCCCCGGGCUACACACGUGCUACAAUGGCUGGUACAAAGGGUCGCAAAACCGCGAGGUGGAGCUAAUCCCAGAAAACCAGUCCC
This 180-nucleotide ribosomal RNA is filed under the name uncultured Acidobacteriota bacterium. Its description in RNAcentral is "uncultured Acidobacteria bacterium partial 16S ribosomal RNA". It matches the Rfam family "Bacterial small subunit ribosomal RNA", at positions 1110 to 1289 of the family's 1533-position model. Lineage: Bacteria; Pseudomonadati; Acidobacteriota. The record is from RNAcentral.